GCCUUCAUAGCUCAGCGGUAGAGCGCGACACUAGUAGCUCCUUUACCUACUGGAAUGUCGAGGUCUUGAGUUCGACUCUCAAUGGAGGCA
RNAcentral lists this transfer RNA (90 nucleotides) under Fonsecaea pedrosoi. RNAcentral describes it as "tRNA-Thr". It matches the Rfam family "tRNA". Rfam says of the family: Transfer RNA (tRNA) molecules are approximately 80 nucleotides in length. Their secondary structure includes four short double-helical elements and three loops (D, anti-codon, and T loops). Further hydrogen bonds mediate the characteristic L-shaped molecular structure. tRNAs have two regions of fundamental functional importance: the anti-codon, which is responsible for specific mRNA codon recognition, and the 3' end, to which the tRNAs corresponding amino acid is attached (by aminoacyl-tRNA synthetases). tRNAs cope with the degeneracy of the genetic code in two manners: having more than one tRNA (with a specific anti-codon) for a particular amino acid; and 'wobble' base-pairing, i.e. permitting non-standard base-pairing at the 3rd anti-codon position. The record is from RNAcentral. RNAcentral also lists the same sequence under 3 other names. Lineage: Eukaryota; Fungi; Ascomycota; Eurotiomycetes; Chaetothyriales; Herpotrichiellaceae.